RNAcentral lists this ribosomal RNA (253 nucleotides) under uncultured bacterium. RNAcentral describes it as "partial 16S ribosomal RNA". It matches the Rfam family "Bacterial small subunit ribosomal RNA", at positions 524 to 776 of the family's 1533-position model. The record is from RNAcentral.
UACGGAGGGUGCAAGCGUUGCUCGGAAUCACUGGGCGUAAAGGGUGCGUAGGCGGGGCUUUAAGUCAGGGGUGAAAUCCUGGAGCUCAACUCCAGAACUGCCUUUGAUACUGAGGAUCUUGAGUUCGGGAGAGGUGAGUGGAACUGCGAGUGUAGAGGUGAAAUUCGUAGAUAUUCGCAAGAACACCAGUGGCGAAGGCGGCUCACUGGCCCGAUACUGACGCUGAGGCACGAAAGCGUGGGGAGCAAACAGG